GUUUUGGUGCUCACUGAGUCUGCCCUUUGAGUGUGUCACUUAUGGAUGUGUAGAGUUAUAAUCUGGUAUGGUCUGAAGCUGU
Molecule: non-coding RNA, 82 nt
Organism: Eptesicus fuscus (big brown bat)
Lineage: Eukaryota; Metazoa; Chordata; Mammalia; Chiroptera; Vespertilionidae
Source: RefSeq, marked provisional